GUACCAAGGAGGAGGUAACCUGAAGGAGGAAUGAAGAUGUAUACGGUGGUGGGGCCGCUCGCUGGCCACUUGGCUACCACCAAAUAAGCUUAGACCUCUUCGCAAAGGCAAAAAGGUGUCUCCCAAGGGAUGGACUGGAUGAGCAUAUUCAUAUACACAUGGUAAUUUUUCUUUUGAAUCAAUGUCAUCCUUUGAAGUA
Long non-coding RNA from Helianthus annuus (common sunflower), 199 nucleotides. RefSeq lists it as uncharacterized. NCBI's taxonomy places the organism in Eukaryota, Viridiplantae, Streptophyta, Magnoliopsida, Asterales, Asteraceae. The record is from RefSeq and is a predicted model, not a curated record. The transcript is spliced from 2 exons.